Mercenaria mercenaria is the source of this 11181-nucleotide long non-coding RNA. RefSeq lists it as uncharacterized. The record is from RefSeq and is a predicted model, not a curated record. The transcript is spliced from 9 exons. Lineage: Eukaryota; Metazoa; Mollusca; Bivalvia; Venerida; Veneridae.
GUUCAUCCUUUGAGCCAUUUAACAGCGGAAAAUUCAAUGAUUACAGAAAUAUUUACGUGCAAGUGUUUGACAGACAAUGGUGCAUGGUUAAACAUUAUGUUAUAUAGGUCUCUAUGCCCGACCUCUUGUUAGUUCCCUAAAAGUCUUCACUAGAUCCUUCUGUUUACGAUGUAUGUGGUCCUGUAGUUUACCAUGAUAACAUAAUGGAUUUAAAAAGCGUUAUUAUCUGUCAGUUGAAUAGUUUUUUCUGAGAAGAAGACACAGACUGUAAGAGAUUCUAGAGAUGUAGCGAUAUGAAUACUUCUAACAUAGUUUAUGUAACUGUAAUAUAGAUUUUGUAAAUGUAAUCAAUAUAACAGGAUUCUUACACUGCAUGGAACCAAGUAUUUUGUGGCUAUAGAUAUUUUACUGCUUUAGUAGCCGCUAUGGAAUGUUAUUGAUAUCAUGAAACAAAUAUAUUUACAUUGUGUAUUCAACCGGUUUGUUUCCUCGAUAAUUUGAUAUUUCUUUUUUUUUUCUUUUUUCUUACAUUCCUUUCAUUCCGUUUUUUACUGUUCUUCAUUUCACAUUAUUAUGUAAAUUCGUUUUCAUUUGUGUUUUCAGUAUUUAGGUUUUGUUCUUUAUAUAUAUGUAUAUUUCAUUUAUCAUUUUAUUUUUCUUCUCAUUGAAUCUAAGAACAAAUAUAUCAUUUUACGUUAAAGAAGCUUAUAAUAAGAGACUCUGUUAAAUAGUAUUGCUAUUGCAAUAUUUUCUAUCUAAUAUUUUCACAUUAUACGAUUACGUAAAGUUUAAUUUUCCAAUGCUUAAAUUAAUUUGAACACGAUAAAAUGGACAGGUUUAUUUCCUACUACCACAUUGCGUUAAUGUUUGUAAUAAUAACUGCAUGUGGGAGCCUCAUUUUCAAACAACAUUUAAAAUAACUGCUCUAAAGUUUAAGAUACAAAAUAAUGCGUUAUUUUCAUUUCGUAGAAUAAUUCUCGUUAACACUAAAAUCUGGAUAACUAACUAAAAUAAUAAAGGAAAACCUUACAGAAUAAUUCCUUUGGAAUUUCUUAAUUUAAGAAGCGGAUAACUCACAUAAUCUUGAGAACUGGAUACAUAAAGCGGCAUUUAAAAAAAACGGGAUGUUAAAUUGACAUUUUGGCUCGAGCGCGUGCUAUAUUAUUUUUACAAUGACAUUUUAUACACCAAAUGCAUACAUGCUGCAUAGAUCUAUAUUACUAAUAUAAAUUGUGUUUUUUAUAAUAUUUUAACUUUUUACAUCUGUUCGAAUACUUGUGACGAGAAAACCUGUGACACAAUGAGAAGAUAUGUUCAUGUUUUGUGGAUUUUAUAUCUGAUGCAACUGAUAUGCACGUGCCAGGCGAAAAAACAUCGCAGUAAAGCACGUGACAAAAUACAAAAAUCACAUGCAAAAGAAGAUGAUCUAGCAGCACGUGCAUCCAUGUUUAUAAAUGAUGUAUUCCAUAAAAUAUGUCUGCCUUCAGGAUCUAAUAGACUGGUUUACAGAUACCAAAAUGAUUCUCAUAUAUUCAUAGGAUUUGAUGACGUAAAUCAGGAUACAGUCUAUUCAAUGACAUGGAAAAUUAACGAAGUAAAUCCAGAAGCGUUAACUAGCAAUAACCGGAAUAGGUUCAAGGCGCUUCCAGCAUCCCAGGUCCGGAAACGCGUGAAAACUGAGCAUUUAUUGGCGGCAGCUGAUGAAAAACUGCAGGACAAAUUCCGUGAGCGUAUUUCCACGUGCAGUCAGUCAAGGAUUACCUCAAGGGCGUGCGUAAUACAGUCGUUUGCUGUUCUGGCAAGGAAGAUGAAGGAAGUUACUUUUGGAGAGACCUGUGUUAAAUAAAAUCACCUGCAGACGCAUACAUUUUAAACCUGUGUUACCAAGUGAAUCUGUGAUCAUAUUUCUUGUGUACCUAACUGAAAUAUGAAAUGAAGUAUAAACUUACUUUAUGGAACAUUAAAAAAAUAACCUGUUUUUCAUAUACCUGGUUCAGCUGUUCACUCAACGACACAUACGAGCUCACAUUUAUCAAAGUUAUCGUGAAACUGAUGUUGUUUCUCUUUUUGUAGUCUUCUGAACAGUGCAAUAAAUAAAUACAAAUAUAAUUAUCAUCGGUUCAUAGAGCUUAUACGCGUGGUUCUGUUCUUCUGUCUGAAGAUUUUAGCAUCAAAGUAAUUAAUGUAUAUUUUGUGAAAUUUUAUAUACUUGUAAUUGCUCUUGAAAUGUAAAGUGUUUAUCUGUAUCCGACAAACAUCAAAACUACAUAUUCAAAGAGCAUUUGCUAAUGUAACAGGUGAGAGAUUACAUAAACAAAAGAUGUAAAACAUACCUCAAAGUUGUAAAAUUAAAACAGACCAUUAUUUCUGCUUACAACACCUGCCGAAUAAUUUAUAAGCAUUAAUAAAGAUUUAAAUUUGAAUACAUGUUUCGUUGACCGUUUCUAAAUGUUAUUUAUGUGAGCAUUGUUAAUUUUAUUGGUGUUAUGUGAUUUUUAUAAAUCGAAACGUGUGACAUAAAAAAUGUUCACCCCUUGAAAUAAGAAUAUAGACAUAAGCGUCAUAUAAAGUAAUAAGGAAAUAUUCAUAUAAAUAAUAAAAUAUAGUAUAUAAUAAUAUAUAUAUAUAAUAAACAAAGUUUUUACCUGAAUAGAGCGAUUUUCCAUGUGGGUACGAUGCCGAAAAGCCACUUGGGUUAGCAACCACCCUGUCAACAAUAUUAUAUAACUUCUGCAUUCCUGAGAUGCUGAUAUGAAAAGUAUUCACCUCUAGAAAUCGGCCGAGGCGUUAGAUUUGAACAUUUUUAUAUCACCCUCUCAAGAAUACAUUUUUUUUACAAAGAAAACAUAUGAAGGUUAAAACAUUUCCUGGAAAAUAAAAAAAAAUGAUCUAUUAAAUAAUCAUGAUAUUUAUCAUUAAAAUAAGAAAUUAUCAUUAAAAUAAAGACAUUACUACAAAUGUAAAGGAGCCUUGCUUGUCCAAUAAAGACUACAGAGAACACUCAGACAUUGUGUCGACUUUGCUGUAAGACUAUUUUUGUUAAGUGAUAAUCUUGUCUGACAUUUCACAAACGAUCAAAAGGACGAUAAUCCUAAUAUUUAUCAAUUCAAUCAAUUUAAUUAUUUUAGCCGAGACGUUCACAUAUUGACUAACCCAUACUUUUUUAUAUUUAUGCACGUAUUUCAGCGUUGCUUCAGUGCCGAAACCGACCGCAGUAACAUUCUAGAAACGGUGAUAAAAGUAUGAGCAUAACUUUCCUUAGUAAGAUUAUUUCAUAUUCGAUAAUCAUAUGCCGUAAACACUACACAGUAAGCAGUUCUCAUUGACCUGUGAACACAUUUCUCACUGAGCAAUACUCACGGAGCCGUACCUAUUCACUGAGCAGUACUUGCGGUGCCGUGAACACUACUCACUGUGCAAUCACUGAACAGUAUGAUGCCGUAAACACUAGCCGUGAUUACUUCUCACUGAGCUGUUCUCACGGUGCCGUGAACACUACUCACUGAGCAAUACUCAUGUGGCCUUAAACACUAACUGUGAUUACAACUCACUGAGCUGUUCUCAUGGUGCCGUGAACACUACUCACUGAGCAAUACUCAUGUGGCCUUAAACACUAGCUGUGAUUACUACUCACUGAGCUGUUCUUACGGUUUUGGGCUCGCUUCCUUUAAGAUGUUCGCCACCAAUAAAAUCACAUCGUUGAAUGUUUACACUCUAUAAUAUUUUUACACAAACGACAUGUCAGUCACUGUGUUCGACCUCUAAAGAGUUACCACUUCCUUCUAUUUCUGGAAUGUGUACCCCUGUGGUCUACUAAAAUAACUCUAUUGUUCAGUAACGCUUUAUUGUCAUUGAAGUGAGUAAUUUGUCUGCGAAGAAGGCGCAGACUGUGUAUUAUUCUUGGGAUGUGAGUAUACGUAUAGUUAUAACAUAGUUAGUUCCAUUAAUAUUUUGAAAAUUAGCUGCACGAAGACGCUUUUCAUAGCAAACUUAAUGUGAUCUUAUUCGACAUUUUAGCUAGAUCACAUGCCAAUUUUUUUUUUACAAUGACAUUUAAUGCAUUAAAUGCACGCAUGCUGCACAUGCGGUGCUUUUUAUAAUGUGUUAAUGCUAGAUCUGUUGAAUAUUUAUGACGUGACAAGAUAGAAAAUUUAUAAUAAGAUGAAAAGAUAUGUUCAUGUUUUAUGGAUUUUAUGUCUGAUGCAACUGAUAUGCACGUGCCAGGCAAGGAAACAUCGCAAAAAAGCACGAGACAAAAUACAAAAAUCAAGUGCAAAAGAAGAUAAACUAUCAGCACGUGAUUCCGUGUCUUUAAAUGAUGUACUGCACGAAAUAUGUCUGCCUUCUGGAUCCGACAGACUGGUUUACAGAUACCAAAAUGAUUCCCAUAUAUUCAUAGGAUUUGAUGACGUAAAACAGGAUACAGUCUAUUCAAUGUCAUGGAAAAUUAACGAAGGUAAUCCAGAAGCGUUAACUAGCAAUAACCGGAAUAGGUUCCAGGCGCUUCCUGCAUCCCAGGUCCGUAAACACGUGAAAACUCAGCAUUUAUUGGCGGCAGCUGACGAAGAGUUGCAGAACAAAUUCUGUGAGCGUAUUUCUACGUGUAGUCAGUCAAGGAUUACCUCAAGGGCAUGCGUAAUACAGUCGUUUGCUGUUCUGGCAAGGAAGAUGAAGGAAGUUACUUUUGGAGAGACCUGUAAUACAUAAUACCACAUACAAACGUACGCUGCUUUUCAGACCUGUGAUUCCAAGUGCAUAUAUGGAGAUAUUUCGGAAUUAGAAACUUCGAUCAUUUUGGGGUUUUUCCCCCACUGAACUGUAUUGAAAUAUUAGUAAAGUAGAAACACAUUUUACGUUACAUUCAAACAAAAUGAUACCUUUUGCAUAAAAUUGAAGUGUUCAAUCAAAAUCACAUACAGUUUUCACAUUCAUCAUACUUAUCAUAUGAAACUUAUCUAGAAACUAACGUUGUCUCUUCAUCUGUCUUUUUUUCUUUCCAGUGCAAUAAAUCAUUACGUUGUUUACAGGUAACUUAUGUUUAUUUAACAUUUUACGUAAAGGUUCAUAGCCUUUGUGUUUGUGCCGUUUCGGUCUCCGAAAAGUUGUUGAUUCUAGCAUCAAGGUAAUUGAUGUAUAUUUACAUCGUUUUUAGCUCAUCUGAUUUUUUGAAAAAAAAUGAUGAGUUAUUGUCAUCACUUGAGCGGUUGUCGGCGUCGGCGUCGGCGUCGGCGUCGGCGUCUGCGUCGGCGUUGCCUGGUUAAGUUUUAUGUUUAGGUCAGCUUUUCUCCUAAACUAUCAAAGCUAUUGCUUUGAAACUUGGAAUACUUGUUCACCAUCAUAAGCUGACCCUGUAUAGCAAGAAACAUAACUCCAUCUUGCUUUUUGCAAGAUUUAUGGCCCCUUUUGUACUUAGAAAAUGUCAGAUUUCUUGGUUAAGUUUUAUGUUUAGGUCAACUUUUCUCCCAAACUGUCAAAGCUAUUGCUUUGAAACUUGGAAUACUUGUUCACCAUCAUAAGCUGACCCUGUACAGCAAGAAACAUAACUCCAUCUUGCUUUUUGCAAGAUUUAUUGCCCCUUUUGAACUUAGAAAAUCAGUUUUCUUGGUUAAGUUUUAUGUUUAGGUCAGCUUUUAUCCUAAACUAUCAAAGCUAUUGCUUUAAAACUUGCAACACUUGUUCACCAUCAUAAGUUGACCCUGUACAGCAAGAAACAUAACUCCAUCCUGCUUUUUUGCAAGAUUUAUGGCCCCUUUUGGACUUAGAAAAUAUCAGAUUUCUUGGUUAAGUUUUAUGUUUAGGUCAACUUUUUCUCUUAAACUAUUAAAGCUAUUGCUUUGAAACUUGCAACACUUGUUCACCAUCAUAAGCUGACCCUGUACAGCAAGCAGCGUAACUCCAUCCUGAUUUUUGCAAUAAUUAUUGCCCCUUUUGGACUUAGAAAAUCAUUUUCUUGGUUGAGUAUUAUGUUUAAGUCAACUUUUCUCAUAAACUAUCAAAGCUAUUGCUUUAAAACUUGCAACAGUUUUUCACCAUCAUAAGUGGACACUGUACAUCAAGAAACAUAACUCUAUCCUGCUUUUUGCAAGAAUGAUAGCCCUUUUUAGACUUAGAAAAUCAUGGGUAGGACAAUAUUUCUAUUACACAAAAAAAAAUCAGAUGAGCGUCAGCACCCGCAAGGCGGUGCUCUUGUUUGUACUUUUUAUUGCCUUUGAAACAUUAAGAAGUAAACAUCAAAUUUUGAUUUUCACGGGAAGAAUUUACCAAACUAACUGGUGAGACAUAUAUUAAAUCAGAACAAUGUUUUAUCUUUCAACAUCUGCUAUACAAAAUAUAUAUUCGCUGACAAAGAUUCACAUUUGCAUACAUGUUACGUUGAAAAUUGUCAAAUUGUAAAUGACACAUACGCGAACAUUAUUUAUCAUUUUGUUAGAAGUUCGUUUUGGGUUAUAUGUACAUACUACAUAGAUAAUAACCACAAUUAUGCAUUAACGUGUAACUAUUCCGCAUUAACAAAAAUGUUGACCUUUUAUUCUAAAAUCAUGUUUUUUGACACGUUGAAUGUUCUUAGGUUUCCGGAACCUAUACUAUCAUCAUGGAACCUACUAUCAUCAUGGAAACCUUUUGGAUUGAAGCAUCUGGUGCAUUGUCAUUCAAUAUUCUCCAUCAACCUAAAAUAACCAAAGACAAUCAAAAAUGAAUUUACUUGUUUAUGCGAUCUUUUGUUGUCAAAGUAUGUGCGCAGGUUGUGUAUUUCUUACGGCCAGUCUUUUUUUCUUAUGACCGAUACAUAAACUUGAAUGAUAUCUUAGUAUUGUUGUUUCCAAAUAGAGCAUGUCGGCAAUGAUAAAAGCUCUGCUAUAUUUUGAAAAUUCGCAAUACUUUGAAAGCUAUUUCAGAAUGAUUUUAUGUUGCAAUAUAAGGUUUCAACAAAGUUUCAAAUGUAUAAGAAGUUAAGAAGGACAACUUUUUUUCAAAACAAAAUUAACCAAGUUAACGCGAAAUGGCAUAUGCACAUAUAUUGCGGGCUAGUAGAUACUCCAAUGUUAACAAUUCGCGAUACUCAACAAUUUAGAUAAAGAAAACAUACAUUUUAGUGAAAGACAUUUGUUUGUUGUUUUUUUUUUUUGUUGUUGUAUUUUUCAUUUAAGACAUAUGUUUUGUAGUGUACAAGGGUAGUUUCAUACUUUCAUAUCUAGACAGGUCGAGUGUUUAAAGAAACAACCGUGACGAAGUAGUUUUCAAAUACACGUGUUUUAUUUUUCUCUACAAAAAACGAAGACAUUUCGCACGAGUUCCUGUGGAGGUUAUAGCUUCAUGCAGUACGUUCUUACAGGCACUCAGACAUAACAAUAGUUGGCACUGAUCUCAUAUCUAUCAAUCAUAUAUUAUAAUGUUGUUGCAGUUGUUUUUACGUUGGAAAAUACAAAAAAAGGCUGUUUUCAGAGAAUUAUUCAAAACAAAACUUGACUUCAAUGUAUAAGUUUACCGCGUUAUUUUGAUAUUGCUAUUGUAGAAUAUCAUUAAAUGAGUGUGUAACGUUUUAUCGUACAAAUUGGAAACUAAGAAAAACAAUAACAAUGACCUUACAUUCCAAGAUUCGGCAUAGGAAAAGUUUUUCUAGUAUUAUCAUUGUGAAAACGAGCCGCCUGCUAAACGUGCAAACAUACGUUUUCAUUUCAUCAAAAGUUUAUGGUUAGACUAAAUUUUCAGAUAACACUGAUAUUCCCCCAUAAUUUUGCAUUUUUGAUUUUUUCCCCUUUUGUUUUUGCUUUUACUGCGAAAACCAAAUAUGAGCUUGCUCUAUGUUUAGAAACAAGACAACUGUUUACAUUUCAUGUACAUUGAUUUUAUAACAUAAAAUCAGUCGACAAUUAUCUUAAGGUUCAUUUUCCAAUGCAUCAACAAUUUUGAACACGAUAAAAUUGACAGUUUUAUUUCCAUCUUACACAUUAAUUUAAUAUAAGUAUAAAUGCAUGCAGGACAUUGAACAAAACUAUAAAUGUUAAAUAUACUCAAUGAUAAAUUAUGUAUAAACAUAUUUCAUGGGGAUUUAAAAACAAAUGACCUUUUUCCAUAAAACAAAUCCAAUUGUUCAUUCCACUUGAUACAGAAGUUCCGCCUUUAUCACAAUUAUCGUAAAAAUCAGUUUUUCUGUAAUAUGUUUUCGUACAAUUGCCAUAAAUAUAUACUAUGUUCACAUACAAUUUAUUUUAUUAGGAUAUUUUAAUAAAACGUAAUAAUUAAAAUAUCCUGAGUUCAUAAAACUUAUGUAUCAGUCUAAAAUGUUAUAGAUUCUAGCAUCAAGGUAAUUGUGGCAUAUUUGUAAUGUUUUAUAUAACUGUUAUUGCUUUUGAAAUGUUAAAUGUUUGGUGGUAUCUAACAAACAUCACACUACAUUUUCACAAGUAGCAUUAACCAAUGUAACAGGUGAGAGAUUACAUAAACAACAGAUGUGAAACAUAUUUGUAAACUGUAAAAUGUUUCGGCGUACAAUAAAUAAACGCUGACAAAGAUGUAUAUUUGAAAACAUGUUUCGUUGAAAAUAAUGAGUUUUUAAAUAUGUAAGUGAGCAUUUUUUAUCAUAUAUUGUGGUUGGGUGAUUUCUAUAAAUGAGUAACAUUUUCUGAAUUUAAGUAAUUAAUGCCCUCGCGUUGUUUAUCGUUUGAUUUUCCACAGUUAAGAUGUGCAGGAUUUGAUCAUAACCCUUCAAGCAUCUGAACGAUAAAAAAGUCAUGGAACAUCAGACGAUUAACCAUCAGAUGGUCUUGUUUACUUUCACUCUAAGUGCUCAUUAAACAUUAUGAUAGUUAUGCUUAAUUUCAGUCAAUCGAGUAGUAAUGAACCUGACGUCAUGUGGCUAUUUGACUUCAAAAUUGAUGUUAUAAUGUUCAUAUCGAUCAGCGCGUCAAUCGUUGUUUAUCGCGGAAUACACAAUGUCUGACCUCCACAAACACGCCAUGUUAGAACUGUAGAUACGUAAGCAGAACAGAGAGAACUAAACUUUAUCUUACACUUGAGCAUUAUGCUCCUGGGCCAUAUAACAUGUACAAUCCAACCAAUGUCAACAAUAUAUAUAUUUAUUAAAUAAUAUAUUUUAAACAAUCAAAGUAUUAUAUUAAUAUGUAUGAUGAAACAAAAAUAGUGUGUAGACAACCUAUAACGUAGUAAAGACGGUAUAAACGUACAAGAAUGCCUCAUAUAUAACUGUGAGCUCAAGUAUGGUUUUCAUAAAUAAAGUUUGAUAUAUACAUUGCAUAUACUAAUACAGUGAAAGUUGCACACAUACACAAUAUGCAGGAUGAAGUAAAGAUUCGUAAAAAAAGUACGAGGAAAAUGUACACAGUUACAUUUUUGUUAAUCAGUUUAACUAUCGAUAUAAUAUAUUUAUACAUUAUUAUCAAAAACAUCUUAGACCGUAUGCAUUAAAGUGUUAUAUCUGUCAUAUGAUGUUGUAACAACUUGAAGACCGACCCAUUUGUUAUUUAUUUGUGUCUGUAUAAUUGUUAUAUAGUUAUGUAAAUAUUGAAUGAGCAAUAAAAUAUGUUUAAACCAAUUUAUUUCUUAAAUGAAAAGCAGUUUUGGACUCGCUUCCUUUUGGAUUACCGCCACCAAUAAAGUAACACCGUUGAAUGUUUACACUCUAUAAUGGUUUUACACAAACGACAUAUAAGUUUCUGUGUUCGACCUCUAAUUAGUUACAUAAAAAUCUUCAUCACUUCCUUCUAUUUCUAGAAUGUGCACCCCUGUGGUCUACUGAAAUAACUCUAUUGUUCAGAAACGCUUUAUUGUCAAUGAACUGAAUAAUUUGUCUGCGGAGAAGCCGCAGACUGUAAAUUAUUCUUGAGAUGUGAUUAUACGUAUAGUUAUAACAUAGUUAGGAAAGUGCGUUCUAAAUGUGUAAAAGUGAUCAAUAUUUGUAGGAUACUUAUGUUGGAUGAGACUAAACUAUUUAGAGGUUAGAGUGUUUUUUACUGUUUUAAUAGACGCACUGAACUGUAUGAAAUUAUAAGAAUGAAAUGAAGAAACAUAAUCCUUAUGAUCUCUUUUCUUUAGGAGUCAUAUAAAGCGUCUUGAAAUUUUACUACAAUUCCAUGAGAAAAAUUAAUAUUUUGUUAAUUAGCUUUCAUAGCAAUAUAGAUGGGAUCUUAAUUGACAGUUUAUCUGGAAUACAUACCAGUUCUUUUUUACAAUGACAUUUUAUGCAUCAAAUGCACGCAUGCUGCACAUGCGGUGCUUUUAUAAGGUAUAAAUGCUAGAUCCGUUGAAUACUUGUGACGUGACAAGAUAGAAAAUUUAUAACACGAUGAGAAGAUAUUUUCAUGUUUUAUGGAUUUUAUGUCUGAUGCAACUGAUAUGCACGUGCCAGGCAAGGAAACAUCGCAAAAAAGCACUAGACAAAAUGCAAAAAUCACAUACAAAAGAAGAUAAACUAUCAGCACGUGAUUCCAUGUCUUUAAAUGAUGUACUGCACGAAAUAUGUCUGCCUUCUGGAUCUAACAGAUUGGUUUACAGAUACCAAAAUGAUUCCCAUAUAUUCAUAGGAUUUGAUGACGUAAAACAGGAUACAGUCUAUUCAAUGACAUGGGAAAUUAACGCAGGUAAUCCAGAGGCGUUAACUAGCAAUAACGGGAAUAGGUUCCAGGCGCUCCCUGCAUCCCAGGUCCGGAAACACGUGAAAACUGAGCAUUUAUUGGCGGCAGCUGAUGAAAAGUUGCAGGACAAAUUCCGUGAGCGUAUUUCAACGUGCAGUCAGUCAAGGAUUACCUCAAGGGCGUGCGUAAUACAGUCGUUUGCUGUUCUGGCAAGGAAGAUGAAGGAAGUUACUUUUGGAGAGACUUGUAAUACAUAAUACUACAUACAAACGCACACGCUUCAGACCUGUGAUUCCAAGCGGAUAUAUGGAGAUAUUUCGGAAUUUGAAAUUUUUAUAAUACUGGUUUUUCGCUGUGCUGUAUUGAAAUAUAAGUGUAAAGUAUGAAAAUAUUUUACGAUACAUUCAAGACAAAUGAUACAUUUGCAUGCAACUGAUUAAAGUGUUUACUACUUUUCAUAUACACAAUGUACAAGUUUAACAUUAACAUAAUUGUCGUAUGAAACUUUCCUAGAAACUACAGUCGUCUCUUUCUCUGUAGUCUUCAUUUUCUUAGCAGUGCAAUAAAUAAGUACGCUGUUUACAGAUAA